CGGAGCGUGGCGCAGUCCGGCAGCGCACCGGCAUGGGGUGCCGGGGGUCGGGAGUUCAAAUCUCCCCGCUCCGA
RNAcentral lists this transfer RNA (74 nucleotides) under Fidelibacterota bacterium. RNAcentral's name for it is "tRNA-Pro". It matches the Rfam family "tRNA". Rfam says of the family: Transfer RNA (tRNA) molecules are approximately 80 nucleotides in length. Their secondary structure includes four short double-helical elements and three loops (D, anti-codon, and T loops). Lineage: Bacteria; Pseudomonadati; Fidelibacterota. The record is from RNAcentral.